AUUGAACGCUGGCGGCAGGCCUAACACAUGCAAGUCGAAUGGUAACAGGAAACAGCUUGCUGUUUCGCUGACGAGUGGCGGACGGGUGAGUAAUGUCUGGGAAACUGCCUGAUGGAGGGGGAUAACUACUGGAAACGGUAGCUAAUACCGCAUAACGUCGCAAGACCAGAGAGGGGGACCUUCGGGCCUCUUGCCAUCAGAUGUGCCCAGAUGGGAUUAGCUAGUAGGUGGGGUAACGGCUCACCUAGGCGACGAUCCCUAGCUGGUCUGAGAGGAUGACCAGCCACACUGGAACUGAGACACGGUCCAGACUCCUACGGGAGGCAGCAGUGGGGAAUAUUGCACAAUGGGCGCAAGCCUGAUGCAGCCAUGCCGCGUGUAUGAAGAAGGCCUUCGGGUUGUAAAGUACUUUCAGCGGGGAGGAAGGGAGUAAAGUUAAUACCUUUGCUCAUUGACGUUACCCGCAGAAGAAGCACCGGCUAACUCCGUG
Molecule: ribosomal RNA, 490 nt
Filed under: uncultured bacterium
Lineage: Bacteria
Description: partial 16S ribosomal RNA
Rfam family: Bacterial small subunit ribosomal RNA
Source: RNAcentral